AGUGAACGCUGGCGGUAGGCCUAACACAUGCAAGUCGAACGGCAGCACAGUAAGAGCUUGCUCUUACGGGUGGCGAGUGGCGGACGGGUGAGGAAUACAUCGGAAUCUACUUUUUCGUGGGGGAUAACGUAGGGAAACUUACGCUAAUACCGCAUACGACCUACGGGUGAAAGCAGGGGAUCUUCGGACCUUGCGCGAUUGAAUGAGCCGAUGUCGGAUUAGCUAGUUGGCGGGGUAAAGGCCCACCAAGGCGACGAUCCGUAGCUGGUCUGAGAGGAUGGUCAGCCACACUGGAACUGAGACACGGUCCAGACUCCUACGAGAGGCAGCAGUGGGGAAUAUUGGACAAUGGUCGCAAGCCUGAUCCAGCCAUACCGCGUGGGUGAAGAAGGCCUUCGGGUUGUAAAGCCCUUUUGUUGGGAAAGAAAAGCAGCAGGUUAAUACGCCGCUGUUCUGACGGUACCCAAAGAAUAAGCACCGGCUAACUUCGUG
This 492-nucleotide ribosomal RNA is filed under the name uncultured bacterium. Its description in RNAcentral is "partial 16S ribosomal RNA". It matches the Rfam family "Bacterial small subunit ribosomal RNA", at positions 29 to 507 of the family's 1533-position model. The record is from RNAcentral.